This 818-nucleotide ribosomal RNA is filed under the name Leucoagaricus sp. Its description in RNAcentral is "partial large subunit ribosomal RNA". It matches the Rfam family "Eukaryotic large subunit ribosomal RNA", at positions 127 to 932 of the family's 3401-position model. The record is from RNAcentral. Lineage: Eukaryota; Fungi; Basidiomycota; Agaricomycetes; Agaricales; Agaricaceae.
GUCUUUGGCCGUCCGAGUUGUAAUCUAGAGAAGUGAUGCCCGCGCUGGACCGUGUACAAGUCUCCUGGAAUGGAGCGUCAUAGAGGGUGAGAAUCCCGUCUCUGACACGGACUACCAGGGCUUUGUGGUAUGCUCUCAAAGAGUCGAGUUGUUUGGGAAUGCAGCUCAAAAUGGGUGGUAAAUUCCAUCUAAAGCUAAAUAUUGGCGAGAGACCGAUAGCGAACAAGUACCGUGAGGGAAAGAUGAAAAGAACUUUGGAAAGAGAGUUAAACAGUACGUGAAAUUGCUGAAAGGGAAACGCUUGAAGUCAGUCGCGUCGGCAAGGAAUCAGCCUCGCAAUAUUGCGUGGUGUACUUUCUUGUUGACGGGUCAGCAUCAAUUUUGACUGUUGGAGAAAGGUUUGGGGAAUGUGGCAGCUUUGGCUGUGUUAUAGCCUCAAGUCAUAUACAGCAGUUGGGAUUGAGGAACUCAGCACGCCGCAAGGCCGGGUUUCGACCACGUACGUGCUUAGGAUGCUGGCAUAAUGGCUUUAAGCGACCCGUCUUGAAACACGGACCAAGGAGUCUAACAUGCCUGCGAGUGUUUGGGUGGCAAACCCGAGCGCGUAAUGAAAGUGAAAGUUGAGAUCCCUGUCGUGGGGAGCAUCGACGCCCGGACCAGAUCUUUUGGGACGGAUCUGCGGUAGAGCAUGUAUGUUGGGACCCGAAAGAUGGUGAACUAUGCCUGAAUAGGGUGAAGCCAGAGGAAACUCUGGUGGAGGCUCGUAGCGAUUCUGACGUGCAAAUCGAUCGUCAAAUUUGGGUAUAGGGGCGAAGACU